RNAcentral lists this ribosomal RNA (468 nucleotides) under uncultured bacterium. Its description in RNAcentral is "partial 16S ribosomal RNA". It matches the Rfam family "Bacterial small subunit ribosomal RNA", at positions 28 to 507 of the family's 1533-position model. The record is from RNAcentral.
GACGAACGCUGGCGGCGUGCUUAACACAUGCAAGUCGAACGGGAAGGCCCUGCUUUUGUGGGGUGCUCGAGUGGCGAACGGGUGAGUAACACGUGAGUAACCUGCCCUUGACUUUGGGAUAACUUCAGGAAACUGGGGCUAAUACCGGAUAGGAGCUCCUGCUGCAUGGUGGGGGUUGGAAAGUUUCGGCGGUUGGGGAUGGACUCGCGGCUUAUCAGCUUGUUGGUGGGGUAGUGGCUUACCAAGGCUUUGACGGGUAGCCGGCCUGAGAGGGUGACCGGCCACAUUGGGACUGAGAUACGGCCCAGACUCCUACGGGAGGCAGCAGUGGGGAAUAUUGCACAAUGGGCGGAAGCCUGAUGCAGCAACGCCGUGUGCGGGAUGACGGCCUUCGGGUUGUAAACCGCUUUCGCCUGUGACGAAGCGUGAGUGACGGUAAUGGGUAAAGAAGCACCGGCUAACUACGUG